Molecule: non-coding RNA, 1814 nt
Organism: Elaeis guineensis (African oil palm)
Lineage: Eukaryota; Viridiplantae; Streptophyta; Magnoliopsida; Arecales; Arecaceae
Source: RefSeq, a predicted model, not a curated record
GUGUGCCCACUCGACUCCCGUGCCACCAAAAGCUUCCCCACUUGCCUGAUCCGCCUCUCUCAUGCAUCUCCCUCCUUGCCUCUGCCUCCCCCCUUCCCCCUGGCCUCCGCCUCUCUCGCGCGUUCCGCCUUUGCUCCCCCUCUCUCACACCUCCGCGUUCUUUGCUUUUUUUGAUCGAAUGGAUUCUCCGUGGAGACAAUGGGCGCAGAUGGCUUAGUUUCCAUGGCUUAUUUGGGAACGGUGGAGUUUACAGUCACUUCCUCGGUUAGUAGAGAUAUUCUAUCCGUGGGCCACCGCCACACCGCUGACUUCAAACCGUCGGUCUUCGCCGCUGCUCCGACGCUACUCUGCACCAAGUCCCGAUCCUCCGUCCGACGGUCGACGCCGCGCCGCUACUCUAUCCUCUAAGGCUGAUCCGGUGGUUCCUCACCUCUCUGGUGCAACAGCCCACCAGGACACCACCUGGCCUCAGUCUUCCAUCCGACGGCCGACGGCAUGCCGCUGACCUUCGAAACGUUGGCCUCUAUGGUUGAUCUGGUGAUUCCUCGCUUCAUCUUGUUUGACGAAGUGAUAUUUCCAUUUCUCUCCUAUUCUCAGGCGAUAGACGAGUUGGGUGAGAGCUCGAGCUCGGCUCGAUUUACGCUUGAAGACUGAUGAAGCCAAGGUGUUUUGGGUGGCUUGAGGUUUUGGGCUCAAUUCAUACUAACAUUUUCCAUUCUUGAAGUGAUGCUUAAGAAUGGUUCUAGGGUUGAAACGUAUCACUACCAGGCGCAGCUCCAGGCUUUCACAAUCCACCAGACCUACCCCAAUAGUGGAGCCAUCUAACUCACCUGGUGAUGAUUAUAUAUAAUUUCUUAGUCGGCCCACUUCUACAGCUCCAAAUGAGCCACCUAGUCAGCCCACUUCUACAGCUCCAAAUGAGCCACCUAGUUGGCCCACUUCUACAGCUCCAAGUCCUUAAAAUAUUUAGCCCGAUGAUACAGCUCCGAAUGACCCAAGUGCACAAGGUGAUGUAGUUAUCUUUUAACUAAGUUGACAAAAAUUAUUUUCAUUUGUUAUAUUUUCAAAUGUUUGUAGAUUCUACAGCAAAGAGGAAGGGUCGUGGUCCUCCUUGUGGUAUUGGGCUGAGCAAAAUGAAAAAGGCACUCGGUAGGAAGCUGACAAUAACGAUUGAUGUAGAUCAAGAGAGACCUAUUGAUCGAGUGCAAUCAGCUAAAUUCUCUAGUGAAGUGGGUUUUCUUGCUCAUGAAUGUAUGCAUGUGCUAAAAAGAUUUAAGGAUUUAAAUGAAGAUGAUUUAAAUCCUGCAUUUGAUAGGUUGUGGGUAAGACCUUUCUUAUGCAUUUUCAUAAAAAGUUAUAAAAUUGUGAAGACAUUGGACUAUUUUCAGGUUGCCAUGUAGGAGCCAAUGGCUUUACAAGUUGUUCAUUUCUUAUAGAUGAAGGUUACUGCAUGCACAUAGAAUGAUAGUGCUUCUAACUACAAUUUUUUUUUAAUGUAAUUUUCAGAGUAAAUUGGAAAUUCAAAAUUUGAGAGAGGAUGCUGAAGUAUCAAAAUGUGUACUUCAAAGGUUACAAGCAUGUGGGAAGGACAUGCGAUUAAGAUUAGGAAGGCAUUAUUUGUAAUUUAGCUCAGAUGCAGAAGCAAGGCGAAAUAAGCCUGCCAAUGUUUCUCAAGAAAAUUGGGAUGACCUAUGUGAUUAUUGGUCUAAUCCUUGUACACAGGAACGAUGUUCAAUCAAUGCUGCAAAUCGAGCAAAGGCAAAGAUGUCACAUAAAACAGGAUCUAUGUCAUUUGUGGCAAUGCGGCAUGAAAU